GUGGGGAAUUUUGGACAAUGGGCGCAAGCCUGAUCCAGCCAUGCCGCGUGAGUGAAGAAGGCCUUCGGGUUGUAAAGCUCUUUCGCAAGGGAAGAAAACUUAAGUCUUAAUACGGCUUGAGGAUGACGGUACCUUGAUAAGAAGCACCGGCUAACUACGUGCCAGCAGCCGCGGUAAUACGUAGGGUGCGAGCGUUAAUCGGAAUUACUGGGCGUAAAGCGUGCGCAGGCGGUUUCGUAAGUCAGAUGUGAAAGCCCCGGGCUCAACCUGGGAACUGCGUUUGAAACUGCGAGGCUAGAGUGUGUCAGAGGGGGGUAGAAUUCCACGUGUAGCAGUGAAAUGCGUAGAGAUGUGGAGGAACACCGAUGGCGAAGGCAGCCCCCUGGGAUAACACUGACGCUCAUGCACGAAAGCGUGGGGAGCAAACAGGAUUAGAAACCCGUGUAGUCC
This 450-nucleotide ribosomal RNA is filed under the name uncultured bacterium. RNAcentral's name for it is "bacterial SSU rRNA". It matches the Rfam family "Bacterial small subunit ribosomal RNA", at positions 354 to 796 of the family's 1533-position model. The record is from RNAcentral.